RNAcentral lists this ribosomal RNA (273 nucleotides) under uncultured Prevotella sp. Its description in RNAcentral is "partial 16S ribosomal RNA". It matches the Rfam family "Bacterial small subunit ribosomal RNA", at positions 83 to 354 of the family's 1533-position model. Lineage: Bacteria; Pseudomonadati; Bacteroidota; Bacteroidia; Bacteroidales; Prevotellaceae. The record is from RNAcentral.
CCUUGAUGACGACUGGCGCACGGGUGAGUAACGCGUAUCCAACCUUCCCAUAACUACGGGAUAACCCGUUGAAAGACGGCCUAAUACCGUAUGACAUCGUUUGCUGACAUCAAAUAACGAUUAAAGGUUUAGCGGUUAUGGAUGGGGAUGCGUCUGAUUAGCUUGUUGGCGGGGUAACGGCCCACCAAGGCGACGAUCAGUAGGGGUUCUGAGAGGAAGGUCCCCCACAUUGGAACUGAGACACGGUCCAAACUCCUACGGGAGGCAGCAGAG